This 199-nucleotide long non-coding RNA is filed under the name Gossypium barbadense (sea-island cotton). Its description in RNAcentral is "long non-coding RNA (GBAR_LNC004204)". Lineage: Eukaryota; Viridiplantae; Streptophyta; Magnoliopsida; Malvales; Malvaceae. The record is from RNAcentral.
UUCGAAAUACAAAUUCUUCCUCGGAAGCAUAAAACUCCUUCAGUAUUCAGUCCAAAAUCCUCAUUCUCACCCUUCUCAACUUGCUGAAACCGAAGGACCAACGAGUUAUCCUUCAACUGUUUUUCUUUAAUCUGCUCAGUCCAAAUAGGCCUCACUUGCAAUUCUGCUAACAGACUUCUAUCAUCAAACAGACUCAAAC